UGGUAGUUGACUAUUGGGUCCGGGAACCCU
RNAcentral lists this non-coding RNA (30 nucleotides) under Homo sapiens (human). Lineage: Eukaryota; Metazoa; Chordata; Mammalia; Primates; Hominidae. The record is from RNAcentral.